RNAcentral lists this ribosomal RNA (230 nucleotides) under uncultured Alicycliphilus sp. RNAcentral describes it as "partial 16S ribosomal RNA". It matches the Rfam family "Bacterial small subunit ribosomal RNA", at positions 548 to 774 of the family's 1533-position model. The record is from RNAcentral. Lineage: Bacteria; Pseudomonadati; Pseudomonadota; Betaproteobacteria; Burkholderiales; Comamonadaceae.
AGAGAUGCACUGGGUGUAAAGCGUGCGCAGGCGGUUUUGUAAGACAGAGGUGAAAUCCCCGGGCUCAACCUGGGAACUGCCUUUGUGACUGCAAGGCUGGAGUGCGGCAGAGGGGGAUGGAAUUCCGCGUGUAGCAGUGAAAUGCGUAGAUAUGCGGAGGAACACCGAUGGCGAAGGUAAUCCCCUGGGCCUGCACUGACGCUCAUGCACGAAAGCGUGGGGAGCAAACA